RNAcentral lists this ribosomal RNA (765 nucleotides) under Longinectria verticilliformis. Its description in RNAcentral is "partial large subunit ribosomal RNA". It matches the Rfam family "Eukaryotic large subunit ribosomal RNA", at positions 115 to 911 of the family's 3401-position model. Lineage: Eukaryota; Fungi; Ascomycota; Sordariomycetes; Hypocreales; Nectriaceae. The record is from RNAcentral.
UUGAAAUCUGGCUCUCGGGCCCGAGUUGUAAUUUGUAGAGGAUGCUUUUGGUGCGGUGCCUUCCGAGUUCCCUGGAACGGGACGCCAUAGAGGGUGAGAGCCCCGUCUGGUUGGACGCCAAACCUCUGUAAAGCUCCUUCGACGAGUCGAGUAGUUUGGGAAUGCUGCUCUAAAUGGGAGGUAUAUGUCUUCUAAAGCUAAAUACCGGCCAGAGACCGAUAGCGCACAAGUAGAGUGAUCGAAAGAUGAAAAGCACUUUGAAAAGAGAGUUAAAAAGUACGUGAAAUUGUUGAAAGGGAAGCGUUUGUGACCAGACUUGGGCUCGGUUGAUCAUCCAGGGUUCUCCCUGGUGCACUCUCCCGGGCUCAGGCCAGCAUCAGUUCGCCGCGGGGGAAAAAGGCCUCGGGAAUGUGGCUCCCUCGGGAGUGUUAUAGCCCGUUGCGUAAUACCCUGGGGCGGACUGAGGUUCGCGCAUCUGCAAGGAUGCUGGCGUAAUGGUCAUCAGCGACCCGUCUUGAAACACGGACCAAGGAGUCGUCCUCGUAUGCGAGUGUUCGGGUGUCAAACCCCUACGCGUAAUGAAAGUGAACGCAGGUGAGAGCUUCGGCGCAUCAUCGACCGAUCCUGAUGUUCUCGGAUGGAUUUGAGUAAGAGCAUACGGGGCCGGACCCGAAAGAAGGUGAACUAUGCCUGUGUAGGGUGAAGCCAGAGGAAACUCUGGUGGAGGCUCGCAGCGGUUCUGACGUGCAAAUCGAUCGUCAAACA